RNAcentral lists this ribosomal RNA (305 nucleotides) under uncultured bacterium. RNAcentral's name for it is "bacterial SSU rRNA". It matches the Rfam family "Bacterial small subunit ribosomal RNA", at positions 332 to 656 of the family's 1533-position model. The record is from RNAcentral.
GGGACCUACGGGGGGCAGCAGUGGGGGAUAUUGCACAAUGGGGGAAACCCUGAUGCAGCGACGCCGCGUGAGCGAUGAAGUAUUUCGGUAUGUAAAGCUCUAUCAGCAGGGAAGAAAAUGACGGUACCUGACUAAGAAGCCCCGGCUAACUACGUGCCAGCAGCCGCGGUAAUACGUAGGGGGCAAGCGUUAUCCGGAUUUACUGGGUGUAAAGGGAGCGUAGACGGCAGGGCAAGUCUGGAGUGAAAGGCAGGGGCCCAACCCCUGGACUGCUCUGGAAACUGUCCGGCUGGAGUGCAGGAGAG